Molecule: ribosomal RNA, 253 nt
Filed under: uncultured bacterium
Lineage: Bacteria
Description: partial 16S ribosomal RNA
Rfam family: Bacterial small subunit ribosomal RNA
Source: RNAcentral
UACAGAGGGUGCGAGCGUUAAUCGGAAUUACUGGGCGUAAAGCGUGCGUAGACGGCUAUCUAAGUCGGGUGUGAAAGCCCCGGGCUCAACCUGGGAAUUGCAUUCGAGACUGAAUAGCUAGGGUACGGUAGAGGGAAGCGGAAUUUCCGGUGUAGCGGUGAAAUGCGUAGAUAUCGGAAGGAACAUCAGUGGCGAAGGCGGCUCGCUGGACCGGUCCUGACGCUCAGGCGCGAAAGCGUGGGGAGCGAUCCGG